This 1906-nucleotide ribosomal RNA is filed under the name Escherichia coli. RNAcentral's name for it is "bacterial LSU rRNA". It matches the Rfam family "Bacterial large subunit ribosomal RNA", at positions 1041 to 2925 of the family's 2925-position model. Lineage: Bacteria; Pseudomonadati; Pseudomonadota; Gammaproteobacteria; Enterobacterales; Enterobacteriaceae. The record is from RNAcentral.
AAGGUCCCAAAGUCAUGGUUAAGUGGGAAACGAUGUGGGAAGGCCCAGACAGCCAGGAUGUUGGCUUAGAAGCAGCCAUCAUUUAAAGAAAGCGUAAUAGCUCACUGGUCGAGUCGGCCUGCGCGGAAGAUGUAACGGGGCUAAACCAUGCACCGAAGCUGCGGCAGCGACACUAUGUGUUGUUGGGUAGGGGAGCGUUCUGUAAGCCUGUGAAGGUGUACUGUGAGGGUUGCUGGAGGUAUCAGAAGUGCGAAUGCUGACAUAAGUAACGAUAAAGCGGGUGAAAAGCCCGCUCGCCGGAAGACCAAGGGUUCCUGUCCAACGUUAAUCGGGGCAGGGUGAGUCGACCCCUAAGGCGAGGCCGAAAGGCGUAGUCGAUGGGAAACAGGUUAAUAUUCCUGUACUUGGUGUUACUGCGAAGGGGGGACGGAGAAGGCUAUGUUGGCCGGGCGACGGUUGUCCCGGUUUAAGCGUGUAGGCUGGUUUUCCAGGCAAAUCCGGAAAAUCAAGGCUGAGGCGUGAUGACGAGGCACUACGGUGCUGAAGCGACAAAUGCCCUGCUUCCAGGAAAAGCCUCUAAGCAUCAGGUAACAUCAAAUCGUACCCCAAACCGACACAGGUGGUCAGGUAGAGAAUACCAAGGCGCUUGAGAGAACUCGGGUGAAGGAACUAGGCAAAAUGGUGCCGUAACUUCGGGAGAAGGCACGCUGAUAUGUAGGUGAAGCGACUUGCUCGUGGAGCUGAAAUCAGUCGAAGAUACCAGCUGGCUGCAACUGUUUAUUAAAAACACAGCACUGUGCAAACACGAAAGUGGACGUAUACGGUGUGACGCCUGCCCGGUGCCGGAAGGUUAAUUGAUGGGGUUAGCGGUAACGCGAAGCUCUUGAUCGAAGCCCCGGUAAACGGCGGCCGUAACUAUAACGGUCCUAAGGUAGCGAAAUUCCUUGUCGGGUAAGUUCCGACCUGCACGAAUGGCGUAAUGAUGGCCAGGCUGUCUCCACCCGAGACUCAGUGAAAUUGAACUCGCUGUGAAGAUGCAGUGUACCCGCGGCAAGACGGAAAGACCCCGUGAACCUUUACUAUAGCUUGACACUGAACAUUGAGCCUUGAUGUGUAGGAUAGGUGGGAGGCUUUGAAGUGUGGACGCCAGUCUGCAUGGAGCCGACCUUGAAAUACCACCCUUUAAUGUUUGAUGUUCUAACGUGGGCCCCUUACCGGGGUUGCGGACAGUGUCUGGUGGGUAGUUUGACUGGGGCGGUCUCCUCCUAAAGAGUAACGGAGGAGCACGAAGGUUGGCUAAUCCUGGUCGGACAUCAGGAGGUUAGUGCAAUGGCAUAAGCCAGCUUGACUGCGAGCGUGACGGCGCGAGCAGGUGCGAAAGCAGGUCAUAGUGAUCCGGUGGUUCUGAAUGGAAGGGCCAUCGCUCAACGGAUAAAAGGUACUCCGGGGAUAACAGGCUGAUACCGCCCAAGAGUUCAUAUCGACGGCGGUGUUUGGCACCUCGAUGUCGGCUCAUCACAUCCUGGGGCUGAAGUAGGUCCCAAGGGUAUGGCUGUUCGCCAUUUAAAGUGGUACGCGAGCUGGGUUUAGAACGUCGUGAGACAGUUCGGUCCCUAUCUGCCGUGGGCGCUGGAGAACUGAGGGGGGCUGCUCCUAGUACGAGAGGACCGGAGUGGACGCAUCACUGGUGUUCGGGUUGUCAUGCCAAUGGCACUGCCCGGUAGCUAAAUGCGGAAGAGAUAAGUGCUGAAAGCAUCUAAGCACGAAACUUGCCCCGAGAUGAGUUCUCCCUGACUCCUUGAGAGUCCUGAAGGAACGUUGAAGACGACGACGUUGAUAGGCCGGGUGUGUAAGCGCAGCGAUGCGUUGAGCUAACCGGUACUAAUGAACCGUGAGGCUUAACCUU